Non-coding RNA from Podarcis lilfordi (Lilford's wall lizard), 68 nucleotides. Lineage: Eukaryota; Metazoa; Chordata; Lepidosauria; Squamata; Lacertidae. The record is from the annotation of a GenBank genome assembly.
GAUGUCUCUGUCAGUAGAGCAUGGAACUCUUAAUCUCAAGGUUGUGGGUUUGAGCCCCACGUUGGACA